Molecule: unclassified non-coding RNA, 429 nt
Filed under: Hevea brasiliensis (rubber tree)
Lineage: Eukaryota; Viridiplantae; Streptophyta; Magnoliopsida; Malpighiales; Euphorbiaceae
Source: RNAcentral
GCUGCAGGUCUGACAGAUCUCAGACUUUUUGUAUCUCGCAUCCCGACCAGGCCUCCACCUGAACACUGUGAAGGGUCGCGUGCAGAUCUUGCACUCCUUGUCAUAAUCUGCUUUUGUCAUUCGCACAUAGGGACUGUCACCGAGACACGACUCGCAUAUAAUAGGGAAAUCAGAUCGUUCCCAUCCAUCAGCUUCAGCAUCUCUCAGCAACCUAUGCGCCAUCGUUUUCUAAUUCCUAAACUUCAAUCUGAUUAAGAGCAACUUAGGCUAGUGAAAGUUAUUUGAAUGCCAAAAUCUCGCUUAGCAGACUCAAUUUUAUAUAGAGCUCAGAGACGGCGGAGAUGGCUGUUGUCGACGGCGGAGAGAAGAACCUUCCGACGAAGGACAGCGAGGCAAAUAGCCCAGCUCAGCCGGGCGAAGAGAGAUAAG